GUACAAAUCUUGACUUUAAUAAAGAAAAGGACAAUACGUUUAAUCUUUUCUUUUUCUUUGCUACUGCUAUAUUUAUUUGUAUUCCUUUUUGUUGUUACUAUCCAGCUUUUUUUUUUUUUUGUACUUGCCUCUUGGAACAAAAUAGCUUUGGAGAUUUCCAUAUGAUACCUGAGAAAGCCAUUUCAGAGGAAUGACAAAUCAUGGUUGAAAUUAUCAACAUAACCAGAUUUCUGGAAGAGUCUUGGUUUUCUAUACUUCUUCUCAUCUGCCAUACACUAGAGUAGAGUUCUUUUUCUGUCAGAUGCCUUCAGAACAGUUCCUUGGGAGUCAGCCUGAGAUAUAGGACCGGUGGGAAACUGUUCAACAUGCGAAGACUCCAGGCUGUCACCAAGAUAAAGAAGACUGUGCUAUGAGACCUCCUUUUUACUGACGACUAUGCCCUGAAUGCUGGAUCAGAGCAGGAAAUGCAAGACAGCGUGGACAAAUUCACAGCAGCAUUCGACAACUUCAGCCUCCUCAUCAACACAAAGAAGACCGAAGUGAUGCGCCAGCCAGCUCUGAAUGCCCAACACCAAGAGUACAUUGUUGAAUAUGGCAAUGAGGAGGGAAAUAUUGAGCAAAGGUUUUCCUCUGGUCCGCCUGACAGGCAGGAGAACUGGAGGUUUAAAUUGAUUGGCUCAAAUACUUUAGGAGGGAAAUUUGAGGGAUCUCAGUGGCUGAGCUGUCAGGCAGCUCCCUUUAAAAGAGGGAGCUGCCGGACAGCUCAGCACUUCUUCGUUCCUGUGCCAUCCUUCAAUAAAAGAGCUGUUUGCCUGAUAUGUGAGUCCUGCCUCUUCAUUCGAUCCACAUUUAACAUACAUCAUCCCAGUGAAAGGACAAAAGCUGCAAGCAGUGGACCAAUUUACAUACCUUGGCAGCAUCCUCUCCCAUGCAGUGACAAUUGACAUUGAGGUCAACUGCAGAAUCACCAAGGCAAACUCUGCAUUUGGCAGACUACUGACUUAACAUGUGGGACCACAUGGAAUAAGCUUUGCUACAAAGCUCAAAGUCUACCAAGCAGUAGUGCUAACUACCCUGAUGUAUGCCAGUGAGACUUGCACUGUAUACAGGAGGCACGCUAGGCAAUUGAACCACUUCCACAUGAUCUGCCUCCACAGAUUUGUGAGGAUCUGGUGGCAGGACAAGGUGCCAGACACAGAAGUCCUCUCCAGAGCAAGCCUGCCAUCAGUUCACACCCUGCUGAUUAAAGCCCAGACAGGGCAGGCCAUGUUGCAAGGAUGCCAGACCACCACAUCCCCAAACAGCUCUUCUAUGGUGAGCUGUCUCAAGGAAAGCGAUCACACGGGGGACAAAGGAAGCGAUACAAAGACAAAGGGAAAGGCUGAAAGCCUCUCUCAAGUCCCUGGAUAUCGACACCACCUCCUGGGAAACCCUGGCACAAGAUCGAUCUACAUGACGCAUAUUGAUCCACCAAGGCUGCCGGACAUUUGAAGACAGAAGGACAACCAUAGCACAAGAGAAGUGUGCAUUCCACAAAGCCAGAGUUGCAAAUGCUGCAAUAGUGCACAGUGUGUACGCAGGUGGCUGGUAAGUCCUAUAUGGGCACGGAGUGUUCUGCCUGACAUGUGGCAGAACAUUCCGUGCCCAUAUAGGACUUACCUGCGUACACACUGUAGACCGCCCACAACCCGUUAGAUGUCAAGGUCCUCUUAGAAAACGAUGGACGAUCAUCAUCCUCAAGCUGUUCCAAGUAAAGCUGCCGUUUACAAUUGACCAGUGAUGAUUUUGUCAAUGCUAAUGGUGUUCAAGGAUGUUCCAGUUGUUUUCAGAUUGCUUCCAAGGUGCCUGUUACUAUUGGUACUAUCUUUGCUUUCUUUUGUCACAAUUGUUCUGUUUCUAUUUGCAAAUCAGACAGGAUAUGGAACUAAAAUAGCAUUGGUAGCACUCAUAGAUGAUCUUUGGCAGGAAUGGGAUGAAGGUAAUGAAUACAUCCUUUCUGUUCUUGAUUUCUCAGCAGCUUUCAUUACCAUUGACCAUGGUAUCCUUUUGGACUGACUGAGGGGGACAUGAAUUUACCCUUGAAAAGUAUCUGGAAGCUUCAGCUGGUGCAGAAUGUGGCCAUGCAAGCAAUUCUGGGAACCCAAAAAAGGGCGCAUGAAACCACCUGUGCUCUGCAAAUUGUGUUGGGUACUGGUUUGUUCUGGAUCCAAUUCAAGGUGUUGGUUGUUACCUAUAAAGCCCUACGUGGCAUGGGGUCAAGCUACGGAACUGUCUUCGACCCAUUACAUCAACUCAUCCUACUCAAUCAAGCAAGGAAGUUAUAUUGCAGACUCCAUCAGUUAAAAGAAUUGACUGGCCGGGUCUAGGAAUAGAGCUUUCUCUGCCAUCACCCUGACCCUGUAGAAUAUUCUCUCCCCCCACUAUUCCCAAGAAGUAAGGCAUGUUUGCACUCUCCUGGCCUUCUGAAAAAGAAUUAAAACAUCGCUGUAUAAUGUCACAUGAGGCUGGUUGGUACCCGUCAUCUUUUUAACUAAUUUUUAACAGGGAUAUCUCAUCUUUGCCUACUUUUAAAUUCUAAAUUUUAUUUUUUUUAAAAAAAAAUUAAAAUGAGAAUUUUUAAUUU
This is a long non-coding RNA of Pantherophis guttatus, 2623 nucleotides long. RefSeq lists it as uncharacterized. Lineage: Eukaryota; Metazoa; Chordata; Lepidosauria; Squamata; Colubridae. The record is from RefSeq and is a predicted model, not a curated record.